Long non-coding RNA from Mytilus californianus (California mussel), 4829 nucleotides. RefSeq lists it as uncharacterized. The record is from RefSeq and is a predicted model, not a curated record. The transcript is spliced from 2 exons. NCBI's taxonomy places the organism in Eukaryota, Metazoa, Mollusca, Bivalvia, Mytilida, Mytilidae.
GUUGUUGAUUUGCGUAACAUGGAUAUUGAUAAUUCAUUAUUGUACCUGCUUCUAAAGAUGCUGUUAAUUAUUCUAUUCAUAAUCAACUUCGUUAGUUAAUGUGUUUGCUUCUCAUUAGCUAUUGGACCUCUCAUUCGGUAUGGGACGGUAAUAAUCAGGUAAACCGUGCAAGUGCAAUGUGACCUGGGAACAGUAUAUCUAACAGUAUAUAUGUUCCUGAUGUGACCCAGAAAAUAUGAGUCAGUUAAGGAAUAAUAGUACCGAUAAAUGAUAGGAGAAGGUGCUAGUCAGAACUCUGAAUAUUGCUUUUCAAGACUUUAAUUCUAAUAAUGAUAAUAUAACCGAAAUGCUGGACAUUAUUCCGUUAUUAGCAGAUAAAUUCAAGCUACACCAUAUAUAGUAGUGCGCGAUCCCACAAUGCAUCAGUUAGUACACACGAGGACCACGUGGUUUCGAAUUCUACUUCAUCAUUAAAUGGACAGAAGAAAUUUAAUCAACUUGGCCUCCAAACUUUCAUCAACCAUGCAGUCUUCCAGUGGAAAUGUUACGUUUCAUCACCGAACAGAAGCUAGUAAUCAUCAAAAAUCUUAUAAGAAUAAAAAUACUUGACAGGACAUAAAGCAGUCGAUUUUUCUACUUUCACUUCAACCGGAAGUUUACGAUGUGACUAUGUCAACAAUUGGAGGAAUCCCUACAACCUGGAGUAAGCAUACGAAGGAUCAGGAUAUGCAGCCUUCACUAGAAAUACUCUAUCAAAGACUGCAGCUGGUAAAAAACCAGGAAGUGUGUGGUGUCCGGAAUACAAGGUGAUAUGCAGCUGAAUUACUGCCUUUCUCCCCACUGAGGAAAACAUCACGUCAGGUACGAACUUCUUACUCAACCCUUAUUAUGCCGGGUCCAAAAAAAUGAAACUUCAAUUGGGGCAAUACAUAACAAAUCUAUUCCCAGGCUCACUAGGUCUUCAUCAAGAAGGGGAGUUUAUUCAAGUUUUUAGUUAUUAUAUAUAGUAACGUGCUCUUGUCUUCCCCCGAUGGAGAAUUAAUGUGAUUUCUAUAGGAGGGAUCACGUAGAUUUGACCACUUAUUACCCAGGUAUGGGUUCCUACGAAUAUCACUACUGUUCAUGUGCAGCUCAUUUGCCUUUUUACAACACAGCAGCAGAGUUGUCUACUAUAAACACUACUUUCUUGUGUAUCAUUUUUUCGCUAAUACUCAUCCAAACCUGCGUGGUAACACAUUUCCCACUCCUGGUUUUGCAACAGUCUUAUAAGCACAAGAGUAAGGAAUAACUAAUCGUGUAAGAGACAGAAUAUUUUUUUUUAGGUUGGGAAAUUCGUAAUAUUUUCAGAGGUAUCAGAGGAUGCGCAACUAUGAGAUGCUGCAAUAGUCAUGUUUGUUCGAUUUGUAUAGGGGAAAUCUAAAACAUAUGUAUAUACUGACAACAACAACAAAAAAACGAGAACUAUAUGGGCCCCAGAGUAUCAGAUCUGGCAACUUAAAGACAUUUUAGAUCCCCAUGUCAGUUUUGACUUUUCAGUUUCCACUUUAAAAUAUUAACAGUUUAAAUUAUCAGAAUAUUUGAUUGACCAUCCGUACUAUGGAUUUUUAAGUAGUUGAAUGGUGGAUUAAUAUCAGGCUUUCAUGCAGAAUUGCAACUGGAGUUAAGCAAACAAUAAUCAAUCAUCCAGGGUUGAGUGCCUUACCGUCUAGCCCAAGUAUUUGUAAAAAUCUACCUGAGCAAUUCUCAUCAAAAACACCUGUCUUUGAUCAACCACAGGUGUCUUACACAUUUAUGUUUUUUAAUGCUCACCAGGGUUCUAGCUUCCAUAGGUUUCAAGAUUUUUUUUACCUGUCUGGGUUCUGGAUAUUGCAUGUUUUCAACUGUCAGGGUUAUACCACAUUUCCAGAAUUUCCUGUCUGGAUUUAUCACAGGUUCAUAUAUUAUUUCCACCUGUUUAGGUUGGACCAAAUGUUUAAGACAUGAUACUGCUUUAAGUUUUAUAUUUCAGCAGUAAUUGGGACUAUUAUGGUAUAAUAGUCCCAGCUGGAAUGCUGUUUAUGGUUCUCAAGGAAUGUUAGUAGGUGAAAUUGUAACUAUAAUCCGCCUGAGGAGUGCUAGACGACUUGUCAGUACAAGUGAACUCAAGGUUAUGGUAUCUGGCAGAUUCAGCUGUGCAGGAUUCAACAUUCAUAUAUCCAGUGAAUAUUGGGACGUUAAGCAACCAACAAUCAAUCAAUCAAUCCAGUAAACAUUGUACCACAUUACGUACAUUGUACAUAGCAAGGCUGGCAGACCUGCUCUAUUUAUGCAGUCUCAAGAAUUUUUACCUCUCUUGGUUCUACCAAAUGUUAUUGCAUUUUAACCUAUUUGGGUUCUACCACAUGUUGUUAUAUGUCUCACUUAUCAGGGUUUUACUACGUACAGUAUUCAAGUAUUUUUAACCUAUCUGGGUUCUACCACAGGUUAUUGUUGUUUCACCUGUGGGUUCUACCACAGGUUUCUAGCUAUAGGCAUACUUAUAAUUCUGGUUUUCUAUGUUUUAAAACAUUUAUGGCUAUGACUAAUCAGAAUCAUAUUAGUGUACCAAUAAUAGAUGAAGAUUGUUUAAUUUAUUUGGUAAACUAUUGCAGAAUUCUCUUAAGCUAGCCCAUGCUACAAGUAAAUUGUAUUUAGCAGGAAUUAUGCAUAAUUACUUAAGAAUAGGGCAUCCUGACCCUUUGACAAAUUGUGCACGCUUAGAGUGUAUAUUAAGAGGUAUUAAAAAGUCUCAGAGUAAUGUCAAACAAAAGAGAUUACCUAUAACAUCUCAAAUUUUGAAACAAUUGUGCUGUAUGUUUAAGCAAGGAGUUUUUUCUGCAUUUGUUGACUAAAUGUUGCAGUGUGCAUUUAAUCUAGCUUUUUUUGGAUUUCUCUGAUGUGGUGAAUUUACGUAUAGUAGUAAAUUGCAAGUCAGGACACACUUUUAAUUCAAAAUAUUAAUUUAGACAUAAAUUUUUCAAAAUUUCACAUUACAUCUGAAUUCCGCCAAAUGUGACCCAUUUCGAGAAGGUAUUAACAUUACUAUUUUUGAAAAUGAUAUUUUCAACCCAGUUGAUUUGAUGAGAAGAUAUAUACAAGUAGGAAAAAAUUAUGGAGCUAGACCAGAUUCCUAGUUAUUUGUUAGUGACGAGUAUAAUAACGCUCCUUUGUCUAGAGAUACAUUUAUAUCUCUGCUUCGAGAUUUGCUGUUCAGAUAAGGGUAUAAUGAUAGAAAAUUUUGUGGUCAUUCUUUUCGAAAAAGUGCUGCAACAUCAGCAGCAGCAGCAGGGGUUGAAGACCAUAUUAUCCACACAUUAGGUAGAUGGUCAUCCAAUUGUUAUAUACGUUACAUUCCAACUGACCCAAAAACUGUUUGUAAAGCAUAAAGCAGAAUGUGUCGUUCCUAACUUAUAUCAAAGGAGUUAUAAGAACUACAUUUUGUUAAUUAUUUUAGUAUUGUAGUUAUUUCUUUUUUUUUUGUUUGUCUGUUUUCAUUUUCAUACAUGAAAUUAUAUUCAAGUACUUUUUCUUUCUAAUGGUAUAUUGAAUUUAUAUAUAUGUACAUGUAUCAUUUCUUGGGGGCUUUCACUCAUGCUACUCGUUCAAUUUGGCCUACUUAAUUUCAGGGAAAUUAUUUUCCCCCAAUUCAUUAAUACAUCUUAUAAAUUAUUAAGGCUUUGUUUUAUUUCAGGGUGAUAAUUAAGUUAGUUUUUGUACCUGUUGGGAUCUACCGCAGGAAUUCUCUUUUUUCAAAUUUAUACCCGUCUGGGCUCUACCAGUCAGGUUCUAAUAGUACCUGUUGGGAUCUACCGCAGGAAUUCUCAGUUUUCAAAAUUCAUACUUGUCUGGGCUCUACCACUCAGGUUCUAAAAGUACCUGUUGGGAUCUACCGCAGGAAUUCUCAGUUUUCAAAAUUCAUACUUGUCUGGGCUCUACCACUCAGGUUCUAAAAGUACCUGUUGGGAUCUACCACAGGAAUUCUCAGUUUUCAAAAUUCAUACUUGUCUGGGCUCUACCACUCAGGUUCUAAAAGUACCUGUUGGGAUCUACCACAGGAAUUCUCAGUUUUCAAAAUUCAUACUUGUCUGGGCUCUACCACUCAGGUUCUAAUAGUACCUGUUGGGAUCUACCGCAGGAAUUCUCAGUUUUCAAAAUUCAUACUUGUCUGGGCUCUACCACUCAGGUUCUAAAAGUACCUGUUGGGAUCUACCGCAGGAAUUCUCAGUUUUCAAAAUUCAUACUUGUCUGGGCUCUACCACUCAGGUUCUAAAAGUACCUGUUGGGAUCUACCACAGGAAUUCUCAGUUUUCAAAAUUCAUACUUGUCUGGGCUCUACCACUCAGGUUCUAAAAGUACCUGUUGGGAUCUACCACAGGAAUUCUCAGUUUUCAAAAUUCAUACUUGUCUGGGCUCUACCACUCAGGUUCUAAAAGUAUCUGUUGGGAUCUACUGCAGGUAUUCUCAUUUUUCAAAUUUAUACCUGUCUGGGUUCUACCAGUCAGGUAUUAAAAUAAAUUUUUCACCUGUCAGGGCUCUACUGCAGGUUCUUAAAAUUGCAUAAUAUAGGCAAUUUAUUUUUUAAUUAAUUUUAAAUUGUGUUGAGUAGGUAGUGUUUUUGAUUUGGUUAUUUUAAUUAGUAUUAUUGUAAGUUUUAAUGAGUAGCCCCCUAGAAAGCCAAAUGAUACAUUUAUUAUUAUUUUCAUAUGUAUUCAGUAUAAUAGAUUUAGAAUUGAUUGUGAAUAUGAUACUAGUAUACUGUGUAUACAAUGGUGUCUUAGUAUAUUAGUUUGUUAAUAAAAUUAGAAUAGUUA